CUCUCGAAGAGGAGGAGUUUAGGGCGGGAGGGAGGGAGCGAGCGAGCGAGUGGUCACGACGAGGGAGACGGUGGAUGCGAGAAGAACUCGAACAUCGGAACCGGGGGAUCGAAGGAGGUCCCUAGGCGCGAUUUACGUCUCGCUCGAGCGGUUGAGCAUCGCAAAGAGGGCCACUUAGGGAAGGGGGCUCCUUUACCUCCUCUCGAAGCACGGGGAGGCUCCGUAGUUCUUGCUGCAGGCGCCCGCGGAGCGGACGAUGUUCGUCCUGACCUGGCCUCCGAAGUCACGGCCAUAGUCCUAGGAUCGCGGCUGGUGGAUGUAUAAGAAGCGCAGGCGCUAUGGGCACUAUAGGAAGCCCCUCGUUAACCUCUCCUCGUGACUACCCCAGGAGUGGCGCCACGUCUGUAACCGUAGGUGGCGGGACACACCGUAUUAGGUGAGGUAACACCCUCCCGUCGGGGACGACUAGGACCCGCACCGUCUCGGCUGCCAUUAUUACAUGUGUAAGUACAAGUCGAAGCGGUUCCUGUCCCGGCUGGAGCCAGGGUUGGAGAAGGAGCGGACCCGGCCAACCCAGACACACACCUGACGGGAGAACGACAAGAACGACCGCCAUGACCCGCGCACGAGGUAGUAUUUGGCCAAGUGGGCGUAGCGGCCGCUCGACAAGCCCGAGGAGUAGCGCUACGAAAAAUACGUCGUUCGAUAGUUCCCUGAACAACUGCUCAAGGCGUAAGGACUCUCCCUCUUGUAUUUUCGUGAUGUCAUAUAAGGUAGUACCUCCAAACGGUUGCCUUACAAGCGAUAGCACAACAGUAAACCGGAAAACGAGUGGCGCGACGCUUCGUCCUUUCGCGCUAGGACCGCGAUACCUCGUCCAACCGACGCACCGAAGUAGCGGCUGAUGCCGCAAGGUGACUACCACGACCACACCUGUCCUCAAAGAAUGUAUGGUGUACUGUCACACGGCUUUCCCUAGGGCGCCGCGGAGAAGUCGGGAUUAGGUACCAGGGGACCACGUAUACUGUUGACCUGUCAGUAGUUCCUAUACCGGGUUCACGGUCAGUACAUGUAGUAACCACGGAAGUACGGACGUUGUUACUAACGACAGGACAUGAUGAAGCUGGUGUCGCACCGUAGGGUCGAACGAGUCGUCCGUCUCAAGUUAAACUCCUUCGGAGGUAGAAAGGUGAUACUAAACGAAGAGGAUCCGAAGGACUGUAACUACACACCGGAUUAACCAUAGGGAGGUAGGUUACCACAGUAAGGUGUCAGCGGCUACGUAUGUUUCUCGAACCGAUGAGAUUUCGUAGUCUAUGAGGCAUUGGCUGAUCACCGGUGCCGUGCCGUUUCGUACGCGGUCUUGCGCUCGAACUCGGUUGACAUGUUGUUGUACGUCCUACGAAUAGUAGUCUAAGUCUGUGGCGACUAGGUGGUUGUUGUCAGGCAGUUUCCGAAUUUGCUCGACUUCCUGAGGUGACAGGUCAAUCGUAGUUCGUACCCAUUGAAGCUACGUGGCCAACUACUCUGUUAGAAACUGUAUCUUUUUCUCUAACUACUAGACGACGGAUACCUCCAGUUCCUCGUUUCCAACUCGUUGAAAGAUGUCCGACACUACCAACCCCCGACGCACCGUCGGUACGGGAAUGACUUCUUCUAGGGAUGUCGUCACGACACCCCCAUAAAACGCAAGUACCGCUAACUCUCGAACGGACCAUUAGUCAAGACCCUUUCUUAUAACGACGAGAAGUGACGAGGGUCGUCUUCUAUGUUCCACGACCUUCUCAUGGUAUGUUGUAAACAGCUCUGGCACGGUAAGUUCUGCUAUCGGUACAAGUGUGAGAAGGUCUGGUGUAUAGACGAACAAACGAAACCCUAGUGUACCUAGGGUUAUCGACCCCAAGAGAAGGGGGAGUACUAGUACGAGGACCAAGGUCAGUCCGUCAUAUAGGAGGGUUUCGAGAAGUUUCCACGUGUAGAGUUACUGGACCUGCGUCGCCUCAUACUCCUCAGUGGCCGAUAUGGCAAGUUGGAACGACGCGUUCUAUAACUACACCGUGACCCUGCGUGGGUUUCGCGUCUCUAGGAACUGCUGUACCAGUGGUCUUCGGCGCCACUCUAGUUCGCGGACUUAUCAGGCUUCUAGUGGUCGAGUCCACCGUGAGGACAGUGCCUUGACUUUCCGUAGGCGUCAGGAACAUAAAGACUCUUCCGGAUGUCGGGAGCGCAGUGGCUCGACUCCGUACUUGCGUCGGGAGAUCCCCCCGCUCUGUCAGGUGCCUGCCCACUCCGGGCCUGUAGGUUCGACCCACUUCCGAGUUGUGGUUUCACUUCGUUAUUACGACGUAGCGAGUAUCGAUGACCUUCAUUUAAUAUAGCUAUUAAAUUCGUAGUCACGAUCAUAUUCUACAGAUGAAUACGUGCCAUACUACGGUGAUAUACUACCGGUCACAACUUCAUGCUCCGGGGAUAUACUACGGAUGACUACUUCAUACUUUUAUCCGAUUACACAUAGAUAGACAUCGGAGGACUAGAUUCCCUCGUGGCAUACACAUUAGAGACUUACUCAUCUUCUGAUAAUAUCGCAGUUGAAACUUUGAAAAAAGACAGAGUGAAAAGAUGUAAUGGCGUUUAACAAGUAUAAUAAGAAACUAAAAACG
This 2660-nucleotide ribosomal RNA is filed under the name Triticum aestivum (bread wheat). Its description in RNAcentral is "partial small subunit ribosomal RNA". The record is from RNAcentral. Lineage: Eukaryota; Viridiplantae; Streptophyta; Magnoliopsida; Poales; Poaceae.